RNAcentral lists this ribosomal RNA (694 nucleotides) under uncultured bacterium. Its description in RNAcentral is "bacterial SSU rRNA". It matches the Rfam family "Bacterial small subunit ribosomal RNA", at positions 32 to 715 of the family's 1533-position model. The record is from RNAcentral.
AACGCUAGCUACAGGCUUAACACAUGCAAGUCGAGGGGCAGCAUGGUCUUAGCUUGCUAAGGCCGAUGGCGACCGGCGCACGGGUGAGUAACACGUAUCCAACCUGCCGUCUACUCUUGGACAGCCUUCUGAAAGGAAGAUUAAUACAAGAUGGCAUCAUGCGUCCGCAUGUUCACAUGAUUAAAGGUAUUCCGGUAGACGAUGGGGAUGCGUUCCAUUAGAUAGUAGGCGGGGUAACGGCCCACCUAGUCUUCGAUGGAUAGGGGUUCUGAGAGGAAGGUCCCCCACAUUGGAACUGAGACACGGUCCAAACUCCUACGGGAGGCAGCAGUGAGUAAUAUUGGUCAAUGGGCGAGAGCCUGAACCAGCCAAGUAGCGUGAAGGAUGACUGCCCUAUGGGUUGUAAACUUCUUUUAUAAAGGAAUAAAGUCGGGUAUGGAUACCCGUUUGCAUGUACUUUAUGAAUAAGGAUCGGCUAACUCCGUGCCAGCAGCCGCGGUAAUACGGAGGAUCCGAGCGUUAUCCGGAUUUAUUGGGUUUAAAGGGAGCGUAGAUGGAUGUUUAAGUCAGUUGUGAAAGUUUGCGGCUCAACCGUAAAAUUGCAGUUGAUACUGGAUAUCUUGAGUGCAGUUGAGGCAGGCGGAAUUCGUGGCGUAGCGGUGAAAUGCUUAGAUAUCACGAAGAACUCCGAUUG